ACUUGAAUCCUCGAUUCAGAUGGAGUCCCAAUGUUUCCGAGCAUCCAGAGAUUAAAACUGGUUUGUAUAAGUGCAUGGAUAGACUCAUCAAGGACCAAGAAACAUAUGUGAAGGUCGAUGCCCAACUUGAUGAGUAUAAAUACAAGCGAGGAUUGUUUGGCUUCAGAUCAUCCUUAACAUCAUACUUAACACGUCCACCUGUUGAAUGGUGGGACAACUUUGGAGAUGAAGUUCCAGAACUCAAGUCAUUUGCAACAAGAGUUCUAGGUCUUACUUGUUCAGCAUCGGCAUGUGAACGUAAUUGGAGUACGUUCAAUCAAGUGCACACAAAGAGAAGAAAUCG
Humulus lupulus (European hop) is the source of this 343-nucleotide long non-coding RNA. RefSeq lists it as uncharacterized. The record is from RefSeq and is a predicted model, not a curated record. The transcript is spliced from 2 exons. NCBI's taxonomy places the organism in Eukaryota, Viridiplantae, Streptophyta, Magnoliopsida, Rosales, Cannabaceae.